UAGGGAAUCUUCGGCAAUGGGGGCAACCCUGACCGAGCAACGCCGCGUGAGUGAAGAAGGUUUUCGGAUCGUAAAGCUCUGUUGUAAGUCAAGAACGAGUGUGAGAGUGGAAAGUUCACACUGUGACGGUAGCUUACCAGAAAGGGACGGCUAACUACGUGCCAGCAGCCGCGGUAAUACGUAGAUCCCGAGCGUUGUCCGGAUUUAUUGGGCGUAAAGCGAGCGCAGGCGGUUUGAUAAGUCUGAAGUUAAAGGCUGUGGCUCAACCAUAGUUCGCUUUGGAAACUGUCAAACUUGAGUGCAGAAGGGGAGAGUGGAAUUCCAUGUGUAGCGGUGAAAUGCGUAGAUAUAUGGAGGAACACCGGUGGCGAAAGCGGCUCUCUGGUCUGUAACUGACGCUGAGGCUCGAAAGCGUGGGGAGCGAACAGGAUUAGAUACCCUGGUAGUCCACGCCGUAAACGAUGAGUGCUAGGUGUUGGAUCCUUUCCGGGAUUCAGUGCCGCAGCUAACGCAUUAAGCACUCCGCCUGGGGAGUACGACCGCAAGGUUG
Molecule: ribosomal RNA, 550 nt
Filed under: uncultured bacterium
Lineage: Bacteria
Description: bacterial SSU rRNA
Rfam family: Bacterial small subunit ribosomal RNA
Source: RNAcentral